AUUGAACGCUGGCGGCAUGCCUUACACAUGCAAGUCGAACGGCAGCACGGGUGCUUGCCCCUGGUGGCGAGUGGCGAACGGGUGAGUAAUACAUCGGAACAUGUCCUGUAGUGGGGGAUAGCCCGGCGAAAGCCGGAUUAAUACCGCAUACGAUCUACGGAUGAAAGCGGGGGACCUUCGGGCCUCGCGCUAUAGGGUUGGCCGAUGGCUGAUUAGCUAGUUGGUGGGGUAAAGGCCUACCAAGGCGACGAUCAGUAGCUGGUCUGAGAGGACGACCAGCCACACUGGGACUGAGACACGGCCCAGACUCCUACGGGAGGCAGCAGUGGGGAAUUUUGGACAAUGGGCGAAAGCAUGAUCCAGCAAUGCCGCGUGUGUGAAGAAGGCCUUCGGGUUGUAAAGCACUUUUGUCCGGAAAGAAAUCCUUGGCCCUAAUACGGUCGGGGGAUGACGGUACCGGAAGAAUAAGCACCGGCUAACUACGUG
This 486-nucleotide ribosomal RNA is filed under the name uncultured bacterium. Its description in RNAcentral is "partial 16S ribosomal RNA". It matches the Rfam family "Bacterial small subunit ribosomal RNA", at positions 30 to 507 of the family's 1533-position model. The record is from RNAcentral.